RNAcentral lists this ribosomal RNA (497 nucleotides) under uncultured bacterium. Its description in RNAcentral is "partial 16S ribosomal RNA". It matches the Rfam family "Bacterial small subunit ribosomal RNA", at positions 28 to 507 of the family's 1533-position model. The record is from RNAcentral.
GAUGAACGCUGGCGGCGUGCCUAAUACAUGCAAGUCGAGCGAACGGACGAGAAGCUUGCUUUUCUGAUGUUAGCGGCGGACGGGUGAGUAACACGUGGAUAACCUACCUAUAAGACUGGGAUAACUUCGGGAAACCGGAGCUAAUACCGGAUAAUAUUUUGAACCGCAUGGUUCAAAAGUGAAAGACGGUCUUGCUGUCACUUAUAGAUGGAUCCGCGCUGCAUUAGCUAGUUGGUAAGGUAACGGCUUACCAAGGCAACGAUGCAUAGCCGACCUGAGAGGGUGAUCGGCCACACUGGAACUGAGACACGGUCCAGACUCCUACGGGAGGCAGCAGUAGGGAAUCUUCCGCAAUGGGCGAAAGCCUGACGGAGCAACGCCGCGUGAAUGAUGAAGGUCUUCGGAUCGUAAAACGCUGUUAUUAGGGAAGAACAUAUGUGUAAGUAACUGUGCACAUCUUGACGGUACCUAAUCAGAAAGCCACGGCUAACUACGUG